RNAcentral lists this unclassified non-coding RNA (19 nucleotides) under Chlamydomonas reinhardtii. RNAcentral describes it as "small RNA Cre_4044". The record is from RNAcentral. Lineage: Eukaryota; Viridiplantae; Chlorophyta; Chlorophyceae; Chlamydomonadales; Chlamydomonadaceae.
UUGUAGGCUGCAACUCGCC